AAAGGGUUACUCUUGUCGGGGUUCAGUUUACAUGGACGUAGUGUCCCAAGAUGUGUGGAGCAGUGAAUACAUGUCAAUCAGUGCUUCUAAGGAGAGUGUUGAUUGGAAUAGACUCAGAUCUAUACACUGUGAAGUCCAAGGUGCUUCAUUCUAUGUGUGGUGAAGGGCUUCCCUAAAUCCACUGGGUGGUGAUGGAGAGAUGAUAUAAGAAGGGGAGGUUAAUUGUGAAGAGGAAAGAAGAGGAAAGGGAAUAAAUAGCAGGAGAGUCCCUGGGGCACAGACACCAUGGGAGGAGAACCACAAGGAGCCUCUGUAACACUUGAUUUCACACUCUAGUGAAGAGAAGCAAGUACUUCAAUCUGCUUCAUUGCCCCAUUUUGCUGGAGCAUUAAUUGCUUCACAGAAUGAAAACAGAAAAACCACAAAUUGGCAUUUUUGGAAACCACUGAAGUGAACUUUGCCUCCCGUAGAGAUGUGGAGGGAACUGGGAAGGAUUCGCUGAGUAAACGGACCUGUAGUCAGAUGUUUGCAGCCGCUUCUAUUCUCAGCUUGCCUGGGAAAAUGAAGAAAGCAAGAAACAGCUACCCAGUACUCAGCUCCAACAGAGAACACACAAAGGCAAAGCUUGUCAUGUGGAUUUCUCCUGGAUCAAAAGAAACAUUUUCUGUCAUACAAGGAGUAAAAUUGAACCUUGUCCUUUUUCGCUUUGCAAAAUAAACUGACUUGUUAGUCUGCAAUCCUAUCAUUAG
RNAcentral lists this long non-coding RNA (749 nucleotides) under Mus pahari (shrew mouse). Its description in RNAcentral is "lncRNA (MGP_PahariEiJ_G0002470.1)". The record is from RNAcentral. Lineage: Eukaryota; Metazoa; Chordata; Mammalia; Rodentia; Muridae.